AGUGGAUGGGGAGCAACCUAGUUGUGCGUGUGUAAAGGUAGUGCCAAGAAAAGCGAUGAUCAUGUUGAAAAUCAAUUCCCGGUACCCGAAACCGACACAGGUGGGCAAGUAGAGAAUACUAAGGGGCGCGAGGUAACUCUCUCCAAGGAACUCGGCAAAAUGACCCCGUAACUUGGGGAGAAGGGGUGCCACCGAGAGGUGGUCGCAGUGAAGAGGCCCAGGCGACUGUUUAGCAAAAACAUAGGUCUCUGCAAACUCGAAAGAGGAGGUAUAGGGGCUGACGCCUGCCCAGUGCCGGAAGGUUAAAGAAGUUGGUCAGUUUUAGGAUGAAGCUAGCGACUGAAGCCCCGGUGAACGGCGGCCGUAACUAUAACGGUCCUAAGGUAGCGAAAUUCCUUGUCGGGUAAGUUCCGACCCGCACGAAAGGCGUAACGAUCUGGGCGCUGUCUCGGAGAGAGGCUCGGCGAAAUAGGAUUGUCUGUGAAGAUACGGACUACCUGCAUUUGGACAGAAAGACCCUAUGAAGCUUUACUAUAGCUUGGAAUUGUGUUCGGGCUUCCUGUGCGCAGGAUAGGUGGGAGGCGUAGAAGGUAUUCUUGUGGGGAUACUGGAGCCAACGGUGAGAUAUCACUCUCAGGAGGCUAGAAUUCUAACUUAAUUAAGGACAGUUUCAGGUGGGUAGUUUGACUGGGGCGGUCGCCUCCAAAAAGGUAACGGAGGCGUACAAAGGUUCCCUCAGACUGGUUGGAAAUCAGUCGAAGAGUGCAAAGGCAGAAGGGAGCUUGACUGCGAGAAGUACAGUUCGAGCAGGGUGGAAACACGGUCUUAGUGAUCCGACGGUGCUGUGUGGAAGGGCCGUCGCUCAACGGAUAAAAGUUACUCUAGGAUAACAGGCUGAUCUCCCCCGAGAGUUCACAUCGACGGGGAGGUUUGGCACCUCGAUGUCGGCUCAUCGCAACCUGGGGCGGAAGUACGUCCCAAGGGUUGGGCUGUUCGCCCAUUAAAGCGGUACGUGAGCUGGGUUCAGAACGUCGUGAGACAGUUCGGUCCAUAUCCGAUGUAGGCGUGAGAAUAUUGAGAGGAGCCUUCCUUAGUACGAGAGGACCGGGAAGGACGCACCGCUGGUGUACCUGUUAUGAUGCCAAUUGUAAACGCAGGGUAGCCAAGUGCGGAGAGGAUAACCGCUGAAAGCAUCUAAGUGGGAAGCCCACCUCAAGAUGAGUAUUCUGGUGUAAGGUCACGGGAAGACGACCCGUAAAUAGGCACGAGGUGGAAGUGCAGAGAUGUAUGAAGCCGAAGUGUACUAAUAGACCGUCGGCUUGA
Molecule: ribosomal RNA, 1323 nt
Filed under: metagenome
Description: bacterial LSU rRNA
Rfam family: Bacterial large subunit ribosomal RNA
Source: RNAcentral